Molecule: long non-coding RNA, 209 nt
Filed under: Mytilus galloprovincialis (Mediterranean mussel)
Lineage: Eukaryota; Metazoa; Mollusca; Bivalvia; Mytilida; Mytilidae
Source: RNAcentral
CAUAUGUGACAGUGGAAAAAGCAGCUUCGUUUAUUAUUUUGGACUUUAAUACAAAAUUCUCAAUUGUGAUAUUUUAGACUUUAAUUCUCUGUGUUUUAUAAUUCAUUUUAUUUUAUAAUUUCGUUUCUUUUUACAUUUCGUAUCCAGGACUUAAAAUCAACAUGCUUUUUAAUUCUUAGUUUGGACAUUGAGUGACAUGUUUCAAUCUG